Cercocebus atys (sooty mangabey) is the source of this 1535-nucleotide long non-coding RNA. RefSeq lists it as uncharacterized. The record is from RefSeq and is a predicted model, not a curated record. NCBI's taxonomy places the organism in Eukaryota, Metazoa, Chordata, Mammalia, Primates, Cercopithecidae. The transcript is spliced from 3 exons.
CACUGGCAGAGCAGGCUCUGUGCUGGAGCUCAUGCAUAGAGAGCAGAACACAUUCUUCCCUUCUGCAUACUGCUGUUGGCACAGUCAUUGUUGCUACUGCUGAAAGCUGAGGAAGGCAGAUGACAGCUUUCAAUCCCUGAUGGGUGAGAGAAGAGGGGAGGCCUUCUUCCAGAUGGCAAGUAAAGAAAAGAAACAACUUGCUGAAACACUGAAACUCCCUCGCUUGUAAGAUAACAAAAAGGACUGAAAUCAGUUAGAACCAAUAUGGCCAACUACAGACUGCGCAGAACCAGCCUGCAGACAGUACAACUUGAAUUUUCACCCUUUGUUUUACACUAACUCACCACAAAUUUGCAUGUGGGACCCACAAGGGAACAGGAAGAGAUAACUGUGCAUGUCUGAGGGCUUUCCUGACCUUCCCUUUCCUUCUAUCCAUCACCUACUAAUCCCAGAAUCCACCUUCUCAAUCCUUUCUAAUACAAUUAAUGUCUUAGAGCUUGCGUGAGUAGAUGGAUUUGAGCUGAGAUGAUGUCUCCAUGUUAGUCAAUUAGCAAUUGACUAAUUGAAAAACUAAGCAAUUGAAAAACUAAGGAGUUUUUCUUGUCUUAAAACCCAGCAUCAUAGCAUUGGCUUCUAGUGCAUUAGGCAGUGAGCCGCUUUUGCUUGAUGAUAGCACCACUAGAACUUUGGAUUCUACAGCUUGCAAGGGUCUUUGCAGUGGCCUUGAUGGAAAGGGCAAGGGCAACUCCACAACAACUCAAAUACUUCUGACAGUAACUAGAAUAUUUCUGAUAAGCUUUUGAAAUAUUUUAUUGAUGCAAUCAGUUCAUUCUAGUCAAAGGAAAGAGAUUCAUGUUAUCUAGGACUUCUUUUUCCACAGAAUACUCUAAGUAUACCUCCCACCACAGAGAUUUAAUAGUGCAGCCUAAAAAAAAACAAAAAAAAAACCCCCAAAAAAACCACACUGUGCUUUUCUGGUUUUAGUCCUUCAACUCUGUAUGUUAGAAGAUGAACUCUCAAGGUCCUGGUGUUUUUGAUUCUUUAUUUCUCCCAAAGUUGUCUAAUAAAAAUACAUUUAAUCUGUCAACCCCCUUACAUCACUAUCCGGAGCUGUCUGGCCCGGCCAUAGCGAUUAUAACUGACGACUGACGCCUAAGCUCUAUACAUUUCCACUUUAUGCCUCCUCCCUAGAUUUACUUUCUUCCCUGUUCUGCUGUCUCAUACGCCAGUACAAAAUGGCGCUCUUCCUGGUUCUUCAUCACCCAUUUUCCCGCGCCCGGGAAAAUGAUCAAUUUACAGCGCAGGCGCCAUCCCGCGCCCGGGAAAAUUACCAACCGAUGGCGCAGGCGCAACAUGACGUCCGACCGAAGAAACCGAGACCUACCUGGCCACGCACACCGCAGGGCCACCAUCACCGCCCUGGCCCAACCUCCGCCCCUGCCGGUCUAUAUAAGGCAUUACACUGCCACCAAUAAACGAGACUUGAUCAGGAUACUGUCUUGUCUCCAUUUCUCGUGUCUCUUGUCCCCCCGAGU